GUUCCGAUGACGAGCCCCAAAAAGAACAGGCGAAAUGCGCAUCCGGAAU
RNAcentral lists this non-coding RNA (49 nucleotides) under Trichobilharzia regenti. The record is from RNAcentral. Lineage: Eukaryota; Metazoa; Platyhelminthes; Trematoda; Strigeidida; Schistosomatidae.